Molecule: ribosomal RNA, 253 nt
Filed under: uncultured bacterium
Lineage: Bacteria
Description: partial 16S ribosomal RNA
Rfam family: Bacterial small subunit ribosomal RNA
Source: RNAcentral
CACGGAGGGGACUAGCGUUGUUCGGAAUUACUGGGCGUAAAGCGCACGUAGGCGGAUUUGUAAGUCAGGGGUGAAAUCCCGGGGCUCAACCUCGGAACUGCCUUUGAUACUGCAAAUCUCGAGUCCGGAAGAGGUGAGUGGAAUUCCUAGUGUAGAGGUGAAAUUCGUAGAUAUUAGGAAGAACACCAGUGGCGAAGGCGGCUCACUGGUCCGGUACUGACGCUGAGGUGCGAAAGCGUGGGGAGCAAACAGG